This is a long non-coding RNA of Poecile atricapillus (Black-capped chickadee), 679 nucleotides long. RefSeq lists it as uncharacterized. The record is from RefSeq and is a predicted model, not a curated record. NCBI's taxonomy places the organism in Eukaryota, Metazoa, Chordata, Aves, Passeriformes, Paridae. The transcript is spliced from 4 exons.
CCUCAUGCCUGGGAGCUGGAAACAGAUAUUCACUGGCACAGAAGAACAGCAAAGGGGAAGCGGAGGAAAAUAAUCAUGGCCCAAUAUUUUCGUCAGACAAAAUGUCUCAUCUGAGACAUGCUGAUGAAAGGAAAUUAGCUGUAUUUGAAAUACUAUUGGGAUAAUUUAAAUUUUCCAGAAAUAUAUCUCCAUGUUUGCAUCAACCGGAGCACAGCUGCCAGACUUGUGCAGCCACCCCACACACCACAGGGAGUGAGCAGAGCUGCAGCACUCUACUACCAAGCUCAUGGACAAGAACCACUCAGCUUCCUCAACUGCUCUAGAGUUUUGACUGUGCUGCCAAUGGUGGACUCCCAUGUGUACUCCCAUUGCCUUUGCCAGCAUCAUUCAAGAAAGUCAACAAUGCCCUGGCUCACGGCUCUAAGGUUUUUGAAAAUUCCAAGUACAAGGUUUCAUCUACUGACUUGGCAUUGGGAAAACAUUGUGAGUUAAUAAGGAGCUCCUCAGAAUAAGGAGUUCAUCUUCCAGCACCUAGUUACAGCCAAAAUAAACCCAAACAUCUGGAUCAGCUGCCUCAAUCACUCCUUCCCUCUCUGCCAUUGCUGUUCCCACCCAAACACUGCUCCCAUUUCAACAUCAAGGCUCAUUCUAAUCCUUUCAUUCCUUUUUUCUCAUCUUC